This 253-nucleotide ribosomal RNA is filed under the name uncultured bacterium. Its description in RNAcentral is "partial 16S ribosomal RNA". It matches the Rfam family "Bacterial small subunit ribosomal RNA", at positions 524 to 776 of the family's 1533-position model. The record is from RNAcentral.
GACAGAGGAUGCAAGCGUUAUCCGGAAUGAUUGGGCGUAAAGCGUCUGUAGGUGGCUUUUUAAGUUCGCCGUCAAAUCCCAGGGCUCGACCCUGGACAGGUGGUGGAAACUACCAAGCUAGAGUACGGUAGGGGCAGAGGGAAUUUCCGGUGGAGCGAUGAAAUGCGUAGAGAUCGGAAGGAACACCCAAGGCGAAAGCACUCUGCUGGGCCGACACUGACACUGAGAGACGAAAGCUAGGGGAGCAAAUGGG